AGGGUUUGAUCCUGGCUCAGAACGAACGCUGGCGGCAUGCUUCAGACAUGCAAGUCGAACGAGAUCUUCGGAUCUAGUGGCGCACGGGUGAGUAACGCGUGGGAACCUACCUUUUAGUUCGGGAUAACAGUUGGAAACGACUGCUAAUACCGUAUACGCCCUCCGGGGGAAAGGUCUGCCGCUGAAAGAGGGGCCCGCGUCUGAUUAGCUUGUUGGUAGGGUAAAAGCCUACCAAGGCUACGAUCAGUAGCUGGUCUGAGAGGAUGAUCAGCCACACUGGGACUGAGACACGGCCCAGACUCCUACGGGAGGCAGCAGUCGGGAAUAUUGGACAAUGGAGGAAACUCUGAUCCAGCAAUGCCGCGUGUGUGAUGAAGGCCCUAGGGUUGUAAAGCUCUUUCGUCGGGGAAGAAAAUGACUGUACCCGAAUAAGAAGGUCCGGCUAACUUCGUGCCAGCAGCCGCGGUAAUACGAAGGGACCUAGCGUAGUUCGGAAUUACUGGGCUUAAAGAGUUCGUAGGUUGUUAAAAAAGUUGGUGGUGAAAUCCCAGAGCUUAACUCUGGAACUGCCAUCAAAACUUUUUAGCUAGAGUAUGAUAGAGGAAAGCAGAAUUUCUAGUGUAGAGGUGAAAUUCGUAGAUAUUAGAAAGAAUACCAAUUGCGAAGGCAGCUUUCUGGAUCAUUACUGACACUGAGGAACGAAAGCAUGGGUAGCGAAGAGGAUUAGAUACCCUCGUAGUCCAUGCCGUAAACGAUGUGUGUUAGACGUUGGAAAUUUAUUUUCAGUGUCGCAGCGAAAGCGAUAAACACACCGCCUGGGGAGUACGACCGCAAGGUUAAAACUCAAAUGAAUUGACGGGGACCCGCACAAGUAGUGGAGCAUGUGGUUUAAUUCGAAGAUACGCGCAGAACCUUACCAACACUUGACAUGUUCGUCGCGACUUUAAGAGAUUAAAGUUUUCGGUUCGGCCGGACGAAACACAGGUGCUGCAUGGCUGUCGUCAGCUCGUGUCGUGAGAUGUUGGGUUAAGUCCCGCAACGAGCGCAACCCUCACUUUUAGUUGCCAUCAUUUAGUUGGGCACUCUGAAAGAACUGCCAGUGAUAAGCUGGAGGAAGGUGGGGAUGACGUCAAGUCCUCAUGGCCCUUACGUGUUGGGCUACACACGUGCUACAAUGGUAUCUACAACAGGAAGCAAGACGGCGACGUUAAGCAAAUCCUUAAAAGAUACCUCAGUUCGGAUUGCACUCUGCAACUCGAGUGCAUGAAGCUGGAAUUACUAGUAAUCGUGGAUCAGCGUGCCACGGUGAAUGCGUUCCCGGGUCUUGUACACACCGCCCGUCACACCAUGGGAGUUGGUUCUACCUUAAGGCAAGGUUUCAAACCCUUGACCACGGUAUAGUCAGCGACUGGGGUGAAGUCGUAACAAGGUAACCGUA
RNAcentral lists this ribosomal RNA (1438 nucleotides) under uncultured bacterium. RNAcentral describes it as "16S ribosomal RNA". It matches the Rfam family "Bacterial small subunit ribosomal RNA". The record is from RNAcentral.